This is a long non-coding RNA of Glycine soja, 821 nucleotides long. RefSeq lists it as uncharacterized. The transcript has 2 exons. The record is from RefSeq and is a predicted model, not a curated record. NCBI's taxonomy places the organism in Eukaryota, Viridiplantae, Streptophyta, Magnoliopsida, Fabales, Fabaceae.
UUAUGACUUUGGUACAAUGGACCCAACAACAAACCUUGUUGAGUUUUCAUCUCAGAAUUUGGAAGCAUGUACCAACAAUUUCAGUCAGAACAAUCUCAUUGGCUUGACACAGUUUGGUAGAUUGUAUAGAGGCAACCUUGAAGGUCAACAUGUAGUAGUGAAGAUAUGGGAUGGUGAAAGAAUGAAACAGAUAAGUUCCAAAUAUAAUGAUGAGAAUUUGAUUAUCAAAGCAAGUGCUCUCACUAUCUCUUUCACUCAUAAAUGACCUUUUUUCUUAUCCUGCUUCCAACUUUAAUUUUGUCUCACUAAUUGUGAAAAGUCAAUGGUUCUGUUUUGCAGGAGGAAGUAAAAUUUUGAACUAAUCCAACAUUGAAAGGUUACCCUAAUCUGGUGAAGUUGAUUGGUUAUACUUGGGAGAGAGAUGUAAAGGGACUUGUGUAACCUGAAUUGGCUUCGGAGAAUAAAUGUAAUUCAUGAACUUGCAAAGCUCUUGAAAUUCAUUCAUGACCUGGAGAAGCAAAAUAUGGUGUUGAAUAUCAGUGCAUCUCAUAUACUACUCGACAAGUUUAGCACAUUAUUGUGGCAAUAAUCCACUUCCCAGCUCCUAAAAAUUUUAUAUAUCGAUGUUUCCUUUCUCAUUUGCACUUUCUCUGUUUUGGCACUCAACAUGAACACUCAUUUCUGGUGUAGGAUUACAAGCCAAAUUUUAUUGAUUUGAUGUUGCUCAGCGAAGUGACAAUGCUAAAGGAACAAAUAACAAUGUCAACUAGCUACAUCGAUCCUUAUUUUUCUCUAAGGGAUAAUUUUUUUUUUUACCUGCA